This 253-nucleotide ribosomal RNA is filed under the name uncultured bacterium. RNAcentral's name for it is "partial 16S ribosomal RNA". It matches the Rfam family "Bacterial small subunit ribosomal RNA", at positions 524 to 776 of the family's 1533-position model. The record is from RNAcentral.
UACGGAGGGAGCUAGCGUUGUUCGGAAUUACUGGGCGUAAAGAGCGCGCAGGCGGUCAGAUAAGUCGAAUGUGAAAGCCCCCGGCUCAACUGGGGAGGGUCAUUCGAUACUGUUCGACUCGAAGGCAGGAGAGGGAAGUGGAAUUCCCGGUGUAGUGGUGAAAUGCGUAGAUAUCGGGAGGAACACCAGUGGCGAAGGCGACUUCCUGGCCUGUUCUUGACGCUGAGGCGCGAAAGCUAGGGGAGCGAACGGG